This 465-nucleotide ribosomal RNA is filed under the name uncultured bacterium. RNAcentral describes it as "bacterial SSU rRNA". It matches the Rfam family "Bacterial small subunit ribosomal RNA", at positions 338 to 795 of the family's 1533-position model. The record is from RNAcentral.
CCUACGGGUUGCAGCAGUGGGGAAUAUUGCACAAUGGGCGCAAGCCUGAUGCAGCCAUGCCGCGUGUAUGAAGAAGGCCUUCGGGUUGUAAAGUACUUUCAGCGGGGAGGAAGGUGUUGUGGUUAAUAACCACAGCAAUUGACGUUCCCCGCAGAAGAAGCACCGGUUAACUCCGUGCCAGCAGCCGCGGUAAUACGGAGGGUGCAAGCGUUAAUCGGAAUUACUGGGCGUAAAGCGCACGCAGGCGGUCUGUCAAGUCGGAUGUGAAAUCCCCGGGCUCAACCUGGGAACUGCAUUCGAAACUGGCAGGCUAGAGUCUUGUAGAGGGGGGUAGAAUUCCAGGUGUAGCGGUGAAAUGCGUAGAGAUCUGGAGGAAUACCGGUGGCGAAGGCGGCCCCCUGGACAAAGACUGACGCUCGGGUGCGAAAGCGUGGGGAGCAAACAGGAUUAGAUACCCCGGUAGUC